AUAUAGAAAUUUUCGGAUUUUGUUCACCGGAUAGUAGUUACAUAGCCAAUUGUGGAACUUUCUUGCUAAAAUUUUUCAAUUUAUAUAAUCUUUACGGAUUAUAUAUUUGUUUUAUUAUAACGAUUAUCAAUUAACAAUCAAUUCAGAACUGGCACGGACUUGGGGAAUCCGACUGUCUAAUUAAAACAAAGCAUUGUGAUGGCCCUAGCGGGUGUUGACACAAUGUGAUUUCUGCCCAGUGCUCUGAAUGUCAAAGUGAAGAAAUUCAAGUAAGCGCGGGUAAACGGCGGGAGUAACUAUGACUCUCUUAAGGUAGCCAAAUGCCUCGUCAUCUAAUUAGUGACGCGCAUGAAUGGAUUAACGAGAUUCCUUCUGUCCCUAUCUACUAUCUAGCGAAACCACAGCCAAGGGAACGGGCUUGGAAUAAUUAGCGGGGAAAGAAGACCCUAUUGAGCUUGACUCUAAUCUGGCAGUGUAAGGAGACAUAAGAGGUGUAGAAUAAGUGGGAGAUAUUUAGAAAUUUAUUUUUAUUUAUCGUCAAUGAAAUACCACUACUCUUAUUGUUUCCUUACUUACUUGAUUAAAUGGAACGUGUAUCAUUGCUUAGCCAUAUUAAGGAUCUAUUUUUAAUAGAUCUUAUGGUAUUGGGUCUUGAUGCAAGCUUCUUGAUCAAAGUAUCACGAGUUUGUUAUAUAAUUGUAAACAAAAUUUAAUGAAAAUAAUUUUGUAUUCAUAUACAAUUUUUAUUGUUAAUUAAAAUUUGGUAUAACUCCAACACUCAGGUAUGAUCCAAUUCAAGGACAUUGCCAGGUGGGGAGUUCGACUGGGGCGGUACAUCUCUCAAAUAAUAACGG
Molecule: ribosomal RNA, 854 nt
Filed under: Teleopsis sp. Sabah 1
Lineage: Eukaryota; Metazoa; Arthropoda; Insecta; Diptera; Diopsidae
Description: eukaryotic LSU rRNA
Rfam family: Eukaryotic large subunit ribosomal RNA
Source: RNAcentral